Molecule: ribosomal RNA, 493 nt
Filed under: uncultured bacterium
Lineage: Bacteria
Description: partial 16S ribosomal RNA
Rfam family: Bacterial small subunit ribosomal RNA
Source: RNAcentral
GACGAACGCUGGCGGCGUGCUUAACACAUGCAAGUCGAACGCUGAAGCCCUUUCGGGGGUGGAUGAGUGGCGAACGGGUGAGUAACACGUGGGUAAUCUGCCCUGUACUUCGGGAUAAGCCCUGGAAACGGGGUCUAAUACCGGAUAGGACCUGUCCUCGCAUGGGGGUGGGUGGAAAGUUCCGGCGGUAGGGGAUGAGCCCGCGGCCUAUCAGCUUGUUGGUGGGGUGAUGGCCUACCAAGGCGACGACGGGUAGCCGGCCUGAGAGGGUGACCGGUCACACUGGGACUGAGACACGGCCCAGACUCCUACGGGAGGCAGCAGUGGGGAAUCUUGCGCAAUGGGCGAAAGCCUGACGCAGCAACGCCGCGUGGGGGAUGACGGCCUUCGGGUUGUAAACCUCUUUCGGCAUCGACGAAGGCAUCUCUGUGUGGGGUGUUGACGGUAGGUGUAGAAGAAGCACCGGCUAACUACGUGCCAGCCGCCGCCGUAA